GAUGAACGCUGGCGGCGUGCCUAAUACAUGCAAGUCGAGCGAACGGACGAGAAGCUUGCUUCUCUGAUGUUAGCGGCGGACAGGUGAGUAACACGUGGAUAACCUACCUAUAAGACUGGGAUAACUUCGGGAAACCGGAGCUAAUACCGGAUAAUAUUUUGAACCGCAUGGUUCAAAAGUGAAAGACGGUCUUGCUGUCACUUAUAGAUGGAUCCGCGCUGCAUUAGCUAGUUGGUAAGGUAACGGCUUACCAAGGCAACGAUGCAUAGCCGACCUGAGAGGGUGAUCGGCCACACUGGAACUGAGACACGGUCCAGACUCCUACGGGAGGCAGCAGUAGGGAAUCUUCCGCAAUGGGCGAAAGCCUGACGGAGCAACGCCGCGUGAGUGAUGAAGGUCUUCGGAUCGUAAAACUCUGUUAUUAGGGAAGAACAUAUGUGUAAGUAACUGUGCACAUCUUGACGGUACCUAAUCAGAAAGCCACGGCUAACUACGUGCCAGCAGCCGCGGUAAUACGUAGGUGGCAAGCGUUAUCCGGAAUUAUUGGGCGUAAAGCGCGCGUAGGCGGUUUUUUAAGUCUGAUGUGAAAGCCCACGGCUCAACCGUGGAGGGUCAUCGGAAACUGGAAAACUUGAGUGCAGAAGAGGAAAGUGGAAUUCCAUGUGUAGCGGUGAAAUGCGCAGAGAUAUGGAGGAACACCAGUGGCGAAGGCGACUUUCUGGUCUGUAACUGACGCUGAUGUGCGAAAGCGUGGGGAUCAAACAGGAUUAGAUACCCUGGUAGUCCACGCCGUGAACGAUGAGUGCUAAGUGUUAGGGGGUUUCCGCCCCUUAGUGCUGCAGCUAACGCAUUAAGCACUCCGCCUGGGGAGUACGACCGCAAGGUUGAAACUCAAAGGAAUUGACGGGGACCCGCACAAGCGGUGGAGCAUGUGGUUUAAUUCGAAGCAACGCGAAGAACCUUACCAAAUCUUGACAUCCUUUGACAACUCUAGAGAUAGAGCCUUCCCCUUCGGGGGACAAAGUGACAGGUGGUGCAUGGUUGUCGUCAGCUCGUGUCGUGAGAUGUUGGGUUAAGUCCCGCAACGAGCGCAACCCUUAAGCUUAGUUGCCAUCAUUAAGUUGGGCACUCUAAGUUGACUGCCGGUGACAAACCGGAGGAAGGUGGGGAUGACGUCAAAUCAUCAUGCCCCUUAUGAUUUGGGCUACACACGUGCUACAAUGGACAAUACAAAGGGCAGCGAAACCGCGAGGUCAAGCAAAUCCCAUAAAGUUGUUCUCAGUUCGGAUUGUAGUCUGCAACUCGACUACAUGAAGCUGGAAUCGCUAGUAAUCGUAGAUCAGCAUGCUACGGUGAAUACGUUCCCGGGUCU
RNAcentral lists this ribosomal RNA (1372 nucleotides) under uncultured bacterium. Its description in RNAcentral is "bacterial SSU rRNA". It matches the Rfam family "Bacterial small subunit ribosomal RNA", at positions 28 to 1381 of the family's 1533-position model. The record is from RNAcentral.